This 497-nucleotide ribosomal RNA is filed under the name uncultured bacterium. Its description in RNAcentral is "partial 16S ribosomal RNA". It matches the Rfam family "Bacterial small subunit ribosomal RNA", at positions 28 to 507 of the family's 1533-position model. The record is from RNAcentral.
GAUGAACGCUGGCGGCGUGCCUAAUACAUGCCAGUCGAGCGAACAGACGAGGAGCUUGCUCCUCUGACGUUAGCGGCGGACGGGUGAGUAACACGUGGAUAACCUGCCUAUAAGACUGGGAUAACUUCGGGAAACCGGAGCUAAUACCGGAUAAUAUAUUGAACCGCAUGGUUCAAUAGUGAAAGACGGUUUUGCUGUCACUUAUAGAUGGAUCCGCGCCGCAUUAGCUAGUUGGUAAGGUAACGGCUUACCAAGGCAACGAUGCGUAGCCGACCUGAGAAGGUGAUCGGCCACACUGGAACUGAGACACGGUCCAGACUCCUACGGGAGGCAGCAGUAGGGAAUCUUCCGCAAUGGGCGAAAGCCUGACGGAGCAACGCCGCGUGAGUGAUGAAGGUCUUCGGAUCGUAAAACUCUGUUAUUAGGGAAGAACAAAUGUGUAAGUAACUAUGCACGUCUUGACGGUACCUAAUCAGAAAGCCACGGCUAACUACGUG